Molecule: long non-coding RNA, 518 nt
Organism: Motacilla alba alba
Lineage: Eukaryota; Metazoa; Chordata; Aves; Passeriformes; Motacillidae
Exons: 3
Source: RefSeq, a predicted model, not a curated record
AAAGUUCAGUUUGGAGAGUCUUUCAUGUUUGAGGAUGGGGGGAGGUUUAUUUUCUUUUUUUACAUAACUGAAAUAUUUCUUCCACUUACUUUUUAACCUUCAGCAGUUCUGGUUUUUUUUGCUAGCCUGCUACGUGUGGUUGCUCCUUAGUUACCAUGACACCCACUAAUGUGCAGAAGGUUAGAGCCCAAGAACAGAAAACAGCAGAGUCACAUGAGAAGAUGGACAAGUUGUCAAGCAGAUAACUCUAAAAAGCACACAGAGGCUCUUUGGCUGACGUAAAUCAGUGUAGCACCAUUGAAGUCAGAGUUAUAAAUCUCUCUCUCUGACUUGGUAAAUACCUUCAGGGAUCAGAGCUGCACCUGCAAUUCUGUGGAUGGAGUUGAGCUUUUAGGAACUACAGCUACAGAUCUCUGAAAUAAGCACAAACAUAAAUCUUCUGCAUUAGAAGAUCAGGAUAUAUCCAGCUUGGAAGGCUUUGUGGCAGCCGUGGGAUGGGGCGCCAGCUGAAGCCAAAU